This is a long non-coding RNA of Puntigrus tetrazona (Sumatra barb), 363 nucleotides long. RefSeq lists it as uncharacterized. The transcript is spliced from 3 exons. NCBI's taxonomy places the organism in Eukaryota, Metazoa, Chordata, Actinopteri, Cypriniformes, Cyprinidae. The record is from RefSeq and is a predicted model, not a curated record.
AGAUUCUUGGUUAUUUAAACAUUAAGGAAACAUUUCAGUGCACCAUUCUACAAAAGUAAUGGGAAUUUCACAUCUGAAGCAAGUGGUAACAACUGAACAUCCACCAUGAAUAUCUAAGUGUUUCAGUAGAUUCAUCUUAACUGUUGUUUGGAAGGAACCAGGUUUUAUUCUGAAGUGUCUUAACACAUAACAACAAGAUGAAGACCAUUCAGCUUCAGCUCUAUGUAUUGAUCUGUUGUCAGUAUGCGGUGUCAGAUCUUCUGACUGAUCUGGGAUCAAAUGUGACCAUAAACUGUGAUCUUGAUGAAAAUGAGGUUUAUUGGAUUUUACUGAAAACAGCAGAUCCUCCAACAGUCAUCCUAC